GCGCAAGCCUGAUCCAGCCAUGCCGCGUGAGUGAUGAAGGCCCUAGGGUUGUAAAGCUCUUUCACCGGUGAAGAUAAUGACGGUAACCGGAGAAGAAGCCCCGGCUAACUUCGUGCCAGCAGCCGCGGUAAUACGAAGGGGGCUAGCGUUGUUCGGAUUUACUGGGCGUAAAGCGCACGUAGGCGGGCUAAUAAGUCAGGGGUGAAAUCCCGGGGCUCAACCCCGGAACUGCCUUUGAUACUGUUAGUCUUGAGUAUGGUAGAGGUGAGUGGAAUUCCAAGGGUAAGGUGAAAUUCGUAUAUAUUCGGAGGAAC
RNAcentral lists this ribosomal RNA (314 nucleotides) under Ochrobactrum sp. BTS-R21. RNAcentral describes it as "bacterial SSU rRNA". It matches the Rfam family "Bacterial small subunit ribosomal RNA", at positions 375 to 707 of the family's 1533-position model. The record is from RNAcentral. Lineage: Bacteria; Pseudomonadati; Pseudomonadota; Alphaproteobacteria; Hyphomicrobiales; Brucellaceae.